RNAcentral lists this ribosomal RNA (808 nucleotides) under uncultured Sphingomonadaceae bacterium. Its description in RNAcentral is "bacterial SSU rRNA". It matches the Rfam family "Bacterial small subunit ribosomal RNA", at positions 46 to 901 of the family's 1533-position model. Lineage: Bacteria; Pseudomonadati; Pseudomonadota; Alphaproteobacteria; Sphingomonadales; Sphingomonadaceae. The record is from RNAcentral.
GCUUACACAUGCAGUCGAACGAGACCUUCGGGUCUAGUGGCGCACGGGUGCGUACCUCGUGGGAAUCUGCCCUUAGGUACGGAAUAACUCAGAUAAAUUUGUGCUAAUACCGUAUGAUGUCGAAAGACCAAAGAUUUAUCGCCUAAGGAUGAGCCCGCGUAAGAUUAGCUUGUUGGUGAGGUAAAAGCUCACCAAGGCGACGAUCUUUAGCUGGUCUGAGAGGAUGAUCAGCCACACUGGGACUGAGACACGGCCCAGACUCCUACGGGAGGCAGCAGUGGGGAAUAUUGGACAAUGGGCGAAAGCCUGAUCCAGCAAUGCCGCGUGAGUGAUGAAGGCCUUAGGGUUGUAAAGCUCUUUUACCAGGGAUGAUAAUGACAGUACCUGGAGAAUAAGCUCCGGCUAACUCCGUGCCAGCAGCCGCGGUAAUACGGAGGGAGCUAGCGUUGUUCGGAAUUACUGGGCGUAAAGAGUACGUAGGCGGUUAUUCAAGUCAGAGGUGAAAGCCUGGAGCUCAACUCCAGAACUGCCUUUGAAACUAGAUAGCUAGAACCUUGGAGAGGUGAGUGGAAUUCCGAGUGUAGAGGUGAAAUUCGUAGAUAUUCGGAAGAACACCAGUGGCGAAGGCGACUCACUGGACAAGUAUUGACGCUGAGGUACGAAAGCGUGGGGAGCAAACAGGAUUAGAUACCCUGGUAGUCCACGCCGUAAACGAUGAUAACUAGCUGUUCGGGCUCUACGAGCUUGAGUGGCGCAGCUAACGCAUUAAGUUAUCCCGCCUGGGGAGUACGGUCGCAAGAUAAAAACU